Lagopus leucura (white-tailed ptarmigan) is the source of this 346-nucleotide long non-coding RNA. RefSeq lists it as uncharacterized. The transcript has 3 exons. NCBI's taxonomy places the organism in Eukaryota, Metazoa, Chordata, Aves, Galliformes, Phasianidae. The record is from RefSeq and is a predicted model, not a curated record.
GAGCCGGCCGUGAGGAGGUAGUGCGGGGCCGCGCGAUGCUCCAACGCCGCAGGGCAGCUCCGGGCUCCGAGCGCCGCUUCAGCUUCUACAAGUCAGCUCGUGUUGGAAGUUGGUGGUGUCACUGUAUGAAUGAAGGUCAGUUCAGGAGCAGCUGCUGAUGGAAGGAAUGAAGUCCACGGUAAUGAGCUGAAGCAUCUCCUGGUCAUCUGGUCCAACCUCCCUGCAGUGAACUGGGACCCUACGCUGGGUCAGGCACUCAGAGCCUGCUCCAGCCUCUCCCUGAAUGCCUCCAAGGAUUGAGCUUCCACCACCUCCCUGGGCAACAUGUGCCACUGCCUCACCGCUC